RNAcentral lists this ribosomal RNA (132 nucleotides) under Sphaerocreas sp. Its description in RNAcentral is "partial small subunit ribosomal RNA". It matches the Rfam family "Eukaryotic small subunit ribosomal RNA", at positions 1352 to 1505 of the family's 1831-position model. Lineage: Eukaryota; Fungi; Mucoromycota; Endogonomycetes; Endogonales; Densosporaceae. The record is from RNAcentral.
UAAAUAGUUAUGCCAACUUUGGUUGGUAGUCAACUUCUUAGAGGGACUGUCGGCGAUUAGCCGACGGAAGUUUGAGGCGAUAACAGGUCUGUAAUGCCCUUAGAUGUCCUGGGCCGCACGCGCGCUACACUG